Molecule: non-coding RNA, 94 nt
Organism: Colletotrichum navitas
Lineage: Eukaryota; Fungi; Ascomycota; Sordariomycetes; Glomerellales; Glomerellaceae
Source: the annotation of a RefSeq genome assembly
GCCCUGAUGGUCUAGCGGUAUGAUUCUCCCUUAGGGUUGUCUUAAGAUAAUCCCAGAUUGGGAGAGGUCCCAGGUUCGAUCCCUGGUUAGGGCC